GUUUCUUUUUAUUGUUUUCUUUUUCUUUGCAUUUUUCUUUUCGCCUGCAUUUGUGUAAUCAUCUUUUGCUCUUCUGCAUUGUUCGUUGUCAAAUUGUACUAUCAUAAGCUUGAUUGUAAUUGUCAAAGGUAAGGUUUGAAAGUUUGUUUGUUUGAUUUGUAGUGAACUUGGGUUUUCCUUUAAGCUUUGAAAUUGAGUUUAAUUUCUUUUAUUGUCGUGGUUACUUCGGUACAUUGUAAAAGAAGGCCG
Molecule: long non-coding RNA, 249 nt
Filed under: Gossypium raimondii (Peruvian cotton)
Lineage: Eukaryota; Viridiplantae; Streptophyta; Magnoliopsida; Malvales; Malvaceae
Description: long non-coding RNA (GRAI_LNC001528)
Source: RNAcentral